AGACGGCAUCGUUUAUUAUUGAAAACUCCGGUGGAUAGAGAUGGGCACGCGCAAGAUUAGAUAGUUGGUGAGGUAACGGCUCACCAAGUCAGCGAUCUUUAGGGGGCCUGAGAGGGUGAUCCCCCACACUGGUACUGAGACACGGACCAGACUCCUACGGGAGGCAGCAGUGAGGAAUAUUGGACAAUGGGUUAGCGCCUGAUCCAGCCAUCCCGCGUGAAGGACGACUGCCCUAUGGGUUGUAAACUUCUUUUGUAUAGGGAUAAACCUACUCUCGUGAGGGUAGCUGAAGGUACUAUACGAAUAAGCACCGGCUAACUCCGUGCCAGCAGCCGCGGUAAUACGGAGGGUGCAAGCGUUAUCCGGAUUUAUUGGGUUUAAAGGGUCCGUAGGCUGAUGUGUAAGUCAGUGGUGAAAUCUCACAGCUUAACUGUGAAACUGCCAUUGAUACUGCAUGUCUUGAGUGUUGUUGAAGUAGCUGGAAUAAGUAGUGUAGCGGUGAAAUGCAUAGAUAUUACUUAGAACACCAAUUGCGAAGGCAGGUUACUAAGCAACAACUGACGCUGAUGGACGAAAGCGUGGGGAGCGAACAGGAUUAGAUACCCUGGUAGUCCACGCCGUAAACGAUGCUAACUCGUUUUUGGGUUUUCGGAUUCAGAGACUAAGCGAAAGUGAUAAGUUAGCCACCUGGGGAGUACGAACGCAAGUUUGAAACUCAAAGGAAUUGACGGGGGCCCGCACAAGCGGUGGAUUAUGUGGUUUAAUUCGAUGAUACGCGAGGAACCUUACCAAGGCUUAAAUGGGAAAUGACAGGUUUAGAAAUAGACUAUUCUUCGGACAUUUUUCAAGGUGCUGCAUGGUUGUCGUCAGCUCGUGCCGUGAGGUGUUAGGUUAAGUCCUGCAACGAGCGCAACCCCUGUCACUAGUUGCCAUCAUUAAGUUGGGGACUCUAGUGAGACUGCCUACGCAAGUAGAGAGGAAGGUGGGGAUGACGUCAAAUCAUCACGGCCCUUACGCCUUGGGCCACACACGUAAUACAAUGGCCGGUACAGAGGGCAGCUACACAGCGAUGUGAUGCAAAUCUCGAAAGCCGGUCUCAGUUCGGAUUGGAGUCUGCAACUCGACUCUAUGAAGCUGGAAUCGCUAGUAAUCGCGCAUCAGCCAUGGCGCGGUGAAUACGUUCCCGGGCCUUGUACACACCGCCCGUCAAGCCAUGGAAGUCUGGGGUACCUGAAGUCGGUGA
Molecule: ribosomal RNA, 1243 nt
Filed under: Chryseobacterium indologenes
Lineage: Bacteria; Pseudomonadati; Bacteroidota; Flavobacteriia; Flavobacteriales; Weeksellaceae
Description: bacterial SSU rRNA
Rfam family: Bacterial small subunit ribosomal RNA
Source: RNAcentral